Molecule: ribosomal RNA, 344 nt
Filed under: uncultured bacterium
Lineage: Bacteria
Description: partial 16S ribosomal RNA
Source: RNAcentral
ACGGCUACCUUGUUACGACUUCACCCCAGUCAUGAAUCACUCCGUGGUAACCGUCCCCCCGAAGGUUAGACUAGCUACUUCUGGAGCAACCCACUCCCAUGGUGUGACGGGCGGUGUGUACAAGGCCCGGGAACGUAUUCACCGUGACAUUCUGAUUCACGAUUACUAGCGAUUCCGACUUCACGCAGUCGAGUUGCAGACUGCGAUCCGGACUACGAUCGGUUUUAUGGGAUUAGCUCCACCUCGCGGCUUGGCAACCCUUUGUACCGACCAUUGUAGCACGUGUGUAGCCCUGGCCGUAAGGGCCAUGAUGACUUGACGUCAUCCCCACCUUCCUCCGGUUU